RNAcentral lists this non-coding RNA (191 nucleotides) under Pseudomonadota bacterium. RNAcentral's name for it is "6S RNA". It matches the Rfam family "6S / SsrS RNA". From Rfam's summary of the family: E. coli 6S RNA was the first non coding RNA to be sequenced, but its function was unknown until recently. It consists of 184 nucleotides that fold into an extended hairpin structure with a large single-stranded internal bulge. The record is from RNAcentral. Lineage: Bacteria; Pseudomonadati; Pseudomonadota.
CGUCGCCUGCGGUGUUCGACAAGCGGGCCGGGUUACCUCUCGACCCUAAUUGAAACACCCAUGGGACACACGGGCUUGCCGGCAGAAUUGUGCAGGUCCGCCAUGAGCGGAAAGCCUUACCUGUCGCAGCCUGUCCCACUUGUUGCUCUGGCUCGAGAGCAACGGUUCGCACCGGCACAUGCGGGUGGCGC